GACGAACGCUGGCGGCGUGCUUAACACAUGCAAGUCGAACGGAAAGGCCCCUUUGGGGGUACUCGAGUGGCGAACGGGUGAGUAACACGUGAGUAACCUGCCCUUGACUUCGGGAUAACUUCAGGAAACUGGGGCUAAUACCGGAUAGGAAUCCUUGCUGCAUGGUGGGGGUUGGAAAGCUUCGGCGGUUUUGGAUGGACUCGCGGCGUAUCAGCUUGUUGGUGGGGUAGUGGCUUACCAAGGCUUUGACGGGUAGCCGGCCUGAGAGGGCGACCGGCCACAUUGGGACUGAGAUGCGGCCCAGACUCCUACGGGAGGCAGCAGUGGGGAAUAUUGCACAAUGGGCGGAAGCCUGAUGCAGCAACGCCGCGUGCGGGAUGACGGCCUUCGGGUUGUAAAACGCUUUCAGCAGGGGCGAAGCUUGUGGUGACGGUACCUGCAGAAGAAGCACCGGCUAACUACGUG
RNAcentral lists this ribosomal RNA (465 nucleotides) under uncultured bacterium. RNAcentral's name for it is "partial 16S ribosomal RNA". It matches the Rfam family "Bacterial small subunit ribosomal RNA", at positions 28 to 507 of the family's 1533-position model. The record is from RNAcentral.